UACGUAGGGUGCGAGCGUUAAUCGGAAUUACUGGGCGUAAAGCGUGCGCAGGCGGCGCGUUAAGACAGAUGUGAAACCCCCGGGCUUAACCUGGGAAUUGCAUUUGUGACUGCACGGCUAGAGUGUGUCAGAGGGGGGUAGAAUUCCACGUGUAGCAGUGAAAUGCGUAGAUAUGUGGAGGAAUACCGAUGGCGAAGGCAGCCCCCUGGGAUAACACUGACGCUCAUGCACGAAAGCGUGGGGAGCAAACAGG
This 253-nucleotide ribosomal RNA is filed under the name uncultured bacterium. RNAcentral's name for it is "partial 16S ribosomal RNA". It matches the Rfam family "Bacterial small subunit ribosomal RNA", at positions 524 to 776 of the family's 1533-position model. The record is from RNAcentral.